Molecule: long non-coding RNA, 1812 nt
Organism: Myotis daubentonii (Daubenton's bat)
Lineage: Eukaryota; Metazoa; Chordata; Mammalia; Chiroptera; Vespertilionidae
Exons: 4
Source: RefSeq, a predicted model, not a curated record
ACCUUUGUUUUGACCAGCAAAUCACACUUUACAGGAGGGAAGGCACGAGGACCAAUUUCAAAAAGGAAAAAUAGGGAUAACAUACACAGACGGACUCCAACUUAUGCUCAUCAGUGAUUCUUGAGGGGAAGCUUUCAGGAGCUCUGGGGGAAAAUCACAAAGACUACUGUGUGGAGAAUGGACUAGAAUGAGAAAGAGAGGAGAUUCUGAGACUGACUGAAAGACUGUCCUAGUAAUCCAGGAUAGAUGGUGGUCACUUGGACUAAGGUAUAGCAGUAACUGGAUUCAAGACUUGUUUUGAUAAUCAUCUCCACAGCAACUAUUCUAUCACAAAGGACGAUGCCUGUGAGUGAGAAGUGAUCAGCAGGAGCUGAGCAACACUUAAGUAGCAGAGAUUCUAUUUUCAUACAAAUAUCUCUAAUUAUAAUAAGCUAAGGAAGAAAUACAUCAUUCUUCCCCUCACCGCCUCCUCCAAUACAAGCAGAGCUAUCGCUACAUAGUUUCUCACAAAAAUAGGGUACCUCCCGCUACAGACAGACUUAAUAAGAGCAUAUCCCUAUGUAGAGAUGAUCGCCACCUCUUAUUGCAAGGCAUGCAAGACCUUACUGAAGGGUCAGGGAUAAUACAAUGAAUAUCGCAUUAAGAGUAAUGGAUCACAGGCUACUAGAUAAUUGCUCAGGGCCUACAAGCUCACCUGAUGCUCCUAGAGAAAAUUUCAUAAGCCCCUACAGCUAGUUUCUGACAUGGCUACAUGUGCAGAAGCUAGCUUUACCCCUAGAAGGCCAGUUAUCCUUAGGCACAGUGCCUAAGGCCCAUAAUACUUUUAGGGACCCAUGAACAUGUGGAAUUUUUAAAAUGGAUACAAUUAUAAUAAAUACGUGUAAAUUAUAAUAAUGAAUCGAGCCUGGAUUAUACAUCACAAUCAUAAAAUAAAAUGUGUAUUGAGCAGAAUAAUGAAAUAAAAAAUAGAUCCACACAUACUAUACAGUCAAUUGAGUAUUUACCAGGUGCCAAGUCAAUUCAAUGGGAUAGGGAAGUCUUUUAAACAAAUGGUGUUGGAACAACUGGGAAAAUGUAUGAAAAAAAAUAAAACCUGAGUAUUUUCUUUGGCAGCACAUACUACAAUUGGAAUGAUACAGAAAAGAAUAGUAUGGCCUUUGUACGGGGAUGAUAUGCAAAUUCAUGAAGCAGUCCAUAUUUUUCAGAAAGUUGAUCUUACGUGUUCUCACCACACAAAAAAUAGUAACUAUGUGAGGUGAUGGAAAUGUUAAUUAGCUUGAUUGUGUUACUAUCUUUAUAAUGUUUACAUACAUUUUUAAUUAGAUCAAUCUGAUUAAAUAAUAGGCAAAAACCUUAACAGACACCAAGAAGAUAUACAGUUGGCAAAUAAGUAUGAAAAUAUGAUCAAUAUCAUAUGUCAUUAAGCAAUUGCAAAUUAAAACAAUAAUGAGAUACCAAUGUCACCUAUCAGAAUGACCAUCUAAAUGUUGGUGAGGGUGUAAAGCAACAGGAAUUCUCACUCAUUGCUAAUGGGCAUGCAAAACGGUACAGUCACUUGAGAAGGCUGUUUGACAGUUCCUUACAAAACUAACAUCUUCUACCAUAUGAUCAAGCAAUCGUACUCCUUGAUAUUUACUUAAAUGAGUUGAAAGGUUAUGUCCACACAAAAACCUGCACAUGGAUGCUUAUAGCUGCUUUAUUCAUUAAUUGCAAAAACAUGGAAGCAACCAAGAUGUCCUUCUGUAGGUGAAUGGAUAAAUAAACUCUGGUAUAUCCAGACAAUAGAAUGUUAUUCAGCGCUCAAAAGAAAUG